GUCCAGGGUGUUGGUGGGCACGCCGUACUCGUCCGGACCAACGUUCUCCUGCGCAGGGAGGUAGAAGGGAAGCAAAGACUGAUGCACAGAGGGGUGUUACGAAUACAAGCGACAACAAAACAAAAAACGACGACAGUGAUGACAAGAAGCUUGACCAGGCCACAGCCACACUUACCUGGAAGAUGCCUUCGAAGUUCUUGACCUUGAGGUGCGGAGGGAGCUUGAAUUGGUUGCGGAUGUCGUCGCGCCGCUUGCCCGUGUAGGGCACGUCCACGUCUUUCUGGCUGAAUCAAAAGGGGGAAGUUGGUGGUCGGAAAGGCCACACAUGUCUCUAGAAGGACAACUUCAAAACACAAGUCUCACACCAAAAGCCAGGAAGAGAGAGGCAGACAUCUCAGGGACUGGGAUACUCAGACUGAAGGCAUUGAAAUGUCUUAUUGAAAGUGGACAACAUCCAGAAUAAAGAGCUCUCACUUCAAGAGGAAAGCAAUGUGAA
This is a long non-coding RNA of Engraulis encrasicolus (European anchovy), 496 nucleotides long. RefSeq lists it as uncharacterized. Lineage: Eukaryota; Metazoa; Chordata; Actinopteri; Clupeiformes; Engraulidae. The transcript has 4 exons. The record is from RefSeq and is a predicted model, not a curated record.